GACAGAGGGGGCGAGCGUUGUCCGGAGUCACUGGGCGUAAAGCGCGCGCAGGCGGUCGGCAAAGUCUGGUGUGAAAGCCCACGGCUCAACCGUGGGAGGCCAUGGCAAACUGCUCGGCUGGAGUGGCGGAGAGGCAGCUGGAAUUCCUGGUGUAGCGGUGAAAUGCGUAGAGAUCGGCAAGAAGACCAAGGGGGAAGGCAGGGGUCUGGCCGCUGGCUGACGCUGAGGCGCGACAGCGUGGGGAGCGAACCGG
This 253-nucleotide ribosomal RNA is filed under the name uncultured bacterium. Its description in RNAcentral is "partial 16S ribosomal RNA". It matches the Rfam family "Bacterial small subunit ribosomal RNA", at positions 524 to 776 of the family's 1533-position model. The record is from RNAcentral.